CUGACGGUCGCGUUUGGGUAGAUAUAGGUGUUGGACGCCUUGCCCUCCUCAAAAAUGGUAAAGCUGAGGGACGUGUGACCGUCAG
RNAcentral lists this non-coding RNA (85 nucleotides) under unclassified sequences. RNAcentral describes it as "L4-Archaeoglobi ribosomal protein leader". It matches the Rfam family "L4-Archaeoglobi ribosomal protein leades". The record is from RNAcentral.